GAUCAUGGCUCAGGAUGAACGCUAGCUACAGGCUUAACACAUGCAAGUCGAGGGGAAACGACAUCGAAAGCUUGCUUUUGAUGGGCGUCGACCGGCGCACGGGUGAGUAACGCGUAUGCGACCUGCCCGCGGCCGGGGGAUAAUCCAUAGAAAUGUGGUCUAAUACCCCAUAUGCCGGUUCUCUGCAUGGAGGACCGGUGAAAGGAGAGAUCCGGGCGCGGAUGGGCAUGCGUCUGAUUAGCUGGUUGGCGGGGCAACGGCCCACCAAGGCGACGAUGCGUAGGGGUUCUGAGAGGAAGGUCCCCCACACUGGUACUGAGACACGGACCAGACUCCUACGGGAGGCAGCAGUGAGGAAUAUUGGUCAAUGGGCGCAGGCCUGAACCAGCCAAGUCGCGUGAGGGAUGACGGUCCUACGGAUUGUAAACCUCUUUUGUCGGGGAGUAACGUGCGGGACGCGUCCCGUAUUGAGAGUACCCGAAGAAAAAGCAUCGGCUAACUCCGUG
RNAcentral lists this ribosomal RNA (506 nucleotides) under uncultured bacterium. Its description in RNAcentral is "bacterial SSU rRNA". It matches the Rfam family "Bacterial small subunit ribosomal RNA", at positions 15 to 507 of the family's 1533-position model. The record is from RNAcentral.